AUUAACAUCCAAUGCAUCAAACUCCUUUCUCAUGGCAUCCUGUCAUACUGGGACUGAUGCAGCUUGAGAAUAAUAAAGAGGUUCAGAUUCCAAAGGAGAAGAAGAAGAUCCAGAAAAGGCAGGAAGGUGACACACAUAAUCCUUAAGAUAAGAGGGAAGGUUGUGAUGCCUCCCAGAUUUUCUAGGAACAUUAGGUGCUGUGAAAGGAGGUAAAGCAGGAGGAGGAAUAUCAAGAUUAAAAGGAGGG
This 247-nucleotide long non-coding RNA is filed under the name Nicotiana benthamiana. RNAcentral's name for it is "long non-coding RNA (NBEN_LNC037162)". Lineage: Eukaryota; Viridiplantae; Streptophyta; Magnoliopsida; Solanales; Solanaceae. The record is from RNAcentral.